UCUAAUACUUCUGAUUCCUACAGAUGAAAGAAAAGAAUAUCCUUAAAUUCCUUUCUUCAGGAGCCUACUUGGGUGGCAUCAAUAUUUGCUUUCAGAUGGAUAAGUAUAUCCACAAAAAGAAAAGUGGUGAUAUCUAUACAUUAAACCUAAAAUGGAUCUGGAGAAGGUUCUUUAUGAAUCUCAGGCCAUUGUAACAAUUGAAAACCCAGCAGCCAUUAUUCUCCAGGUAUACUAACCAGCCUGCUGUACUGGAGCUUGCUCCUGCCCUAGGAUCCAUCUGUUUUGUUGGACACUUUAUUCCCAGAACAUUUAGGCAGCUUUCUAGGAUCCUCCUCCUUUAGUGAACUGAAUAUUAAUAUCUUCCAAAGGCAUCUGCUACUAACCUGCUCACUACUGCGCUACGUAACAGAGAUUCCUCAACUCUGUUUUGCAUAGGAUAUUGACAUCUUGUGCAAAAAUGAGGGUACUCACUAAAAGGGUCUGACAUCUGACAUAAUGGUUGCUGGCCUAUGAGGUCCUGCUUGGGUGUGGCACUAUUUCCCCUGAGCACCUGUGGGAAGUCAUACCUGAUCUCUGCUUCUACAGUGAUACUAGAGAGAUUGAAAAGGAAGAACAGAUUGCUGCUGAAAAGGCAGAACAAAGAGAAGUUUUGGAGAGAAUGCAUUACUUAUGUUGGCAGAUUUACUGCAACUCAAUCUGAGCUCACAGAUUCAUCUGAAAGAGUCUGCAUCUAUUC
Molecule: long non-coding RNA, 736 nt
Filed under: Homo sapiens (human)
Lineage: Eukaryota; Metazoa; Chordata; Mammalia; Primates; Hominidae
Description: non-protein coding lnc-LEF1-6:1
Source: RNAcentral